UAGGAACAGGUAUACCCCGCCGCGGAGCG
RNAcentral lists this small RNA (29 nucleotides) under Bombyx mori (domestic silkworm). RNAcentral describes it as "ovarian small RNA-22617". The record is from RNAcentral. Lineage: Eukaryota; Metazoa; Arthropoda; Insecta; Lepidoptera; Bombycidae.